This 253-nucleotide ribosomal RNA is filed under the name uncultured bacterium. RNAcentral describes it as "partial 16S ribosomal RNA". It matches the Rfam family "Bacterial small subunit ribosomal RNA", at positions 524 to 776 of the family's 1533-position model. The record is from RNAcentral.
UACGUAGGGUGCAGGCGUUAAUCGGAAUUACUGGGCGUAAAGCGCGCGUAGGUGGUUUGUUAAGUUGGAUGUGAAAGCCCCGGGCUCAACCUGGGAACUGCAUUCAAAACUGACAAGCUAGAGUAUGGUAGAGGGUGGUGGAAUUUCCUGUGUAGCGGUGAAAUGCGUAGAUAUAGGAAGGAACACCAGUGGCGAAGGCGACCACCUGGACUGAUACUGACACUGAGGUGCGAAAGCGUGGGAAGCAAACAGG